GAUCCUGGCUCAGAUUGAACGCUGGCGGCAGGCCUAACACAUGCAAGUCGAACGGUAACAGGAAGAAGCUUGCUUCUUUGCUGACGAGUGGCGGACGGGUGAGUAAUGUCUGGGAAACUGCCUGAUGGAGGGGGAUAACUACUGGAAACGGUAGCUAAUACCGCAUAACGUCGCAAUACCAAAGAGGGGGACCUUCGAGCCUCUUGCCAUCGGAUGUGCCCAGAUGGGAUUAGCUAGUAGGUGGGG
Molecule: ribosomal RNA, 246 nt
Filed under: uncultured bacterium
Lineage: Bacteria
Description: partial 16S ribosomal RNA
Rfam family: Bacterial small subunit ribosomal RNA
Source: RNAcentral